This 495-nucleotide ribosomal RNA is filed under the name Clostridioides difficile. RNAcentral's name for it is "bacterial SSU rRNA". It matches the Rfam family "Bacterial small subunit ribosomal RNA", at positions 946 to 1440 of the family's 1533-position model. Lineage: Bacteria; Bacillati; Bacillota; Clostridia; Peptostreptococcales; Peptostreptococcaceae. The record is from RNAcentral.
UUAAUUCGAAGCAACGCGAAGAACCUUACCUAAGCUUGACAUCCCAAUGACAUCUCCUUAAUCGGAGAGUUCCCUUCGGGGACAUUGGUGACAGGUGGUGCAUGGUUGUCGUCAGCUCGUGUCGUGAGAUGUUGGGUUAAGUCCCGCAACGAGCGCAACCCUUGUCUUUAGUUGCCAUCAUUAAGUUGGGCACUCUAGAGAGACUGCCAGGGAUAACCUGGAGGAAGGUGGGGAUGACGUCAAAUCAUCAUGCCCCUUAUGCUUAGGGCUACACACGUGCUACAAUGGGUAGUACAGAGGGUUGCCAAGCCGUAAGGUGGAGCUAAUCCCUUAAAGCUACUCUCAGUUCGGAUUGUAGGCUGAAACUCGCCUACAUGAAGCUGGAGUUACUAGUAAUCGCAGAUCAGAAUGCUGCGGUGAAUGCGUUCCCGGGUCUUGUACACACCGCCCGUCACACCACGGGAGUUGGAGACGCCCGAAGCCGAUUAUCUAACC